This 540-nucleotide ribosomal RNA is filed under the name Bacillus cereus. Its description in RNAcentral is "bacterial SSU rRNA". It matches the Rfam family "Bacterial small subunit ribosomal RNA", at positions 56 to 577 of the family's 1533-position model. Lineage: Bacteria; Bacillati; Bacillota; Bacilli; Caryophanales; Bacillaceae. The record is from RNAcentral.
UGCAGUCGAGCGAAUGGAUUAAGAGCUUGCUCUUAUGAAGUUAGCGGCGGACGGGUGAGUAACACGUGGGUAACCUGCCCAUAAGACUGGGAUAACUCCGGGAAACCGGGGCUAAUACCGGAUAACAUUUUGAACCGCAUGGUUCGAAAUUGAAAGGCGGCUUCGGCUGUCACUUAUGGAUGGACCCGCGUCGCAUUAGCUAGUUGGUGAGGUAACGGCUCACCAAGGCAACGAUGCGUACCCGACCUGAGAGGGUGAUCGGCCACACUGGGACUGAGACACGGCCCAGACUCCUACGGGAGGCAGCAGUAGGGAAUCUUCCGCAAUGGACGAAAGUCUGACGGAGCAACGCCGCGUGAGUGAUGAAGGCUUUCGGGUCGUAAAACUCUGUUGUUAGGGAAGAACAAGUGCUAGUUGAAUAAGCUGGCACCUUGACGGUACCUAACCAGAAAGCCACGGCUAACUACGUGCCAGCAGCCGCGGUAAUACGUAGGUGGCAAGCGUUAUCCGGAAUUAUUGGGCGUAAAGCGCGCGCAGGUG